AACAUUUCACAACACGAGCUGACGACAGCCAUGCAGCACCUGUCUCAGCGUUCCCGAAGGCACCAAUCCAUCUCUGGAAAGUUCGCUGGAUGUCAAGAGUAGGUAAGGUUCUUCGCGUUGCAUCGAAUUAAACCACAUGCUCCACCGCUUGUGCGGGCCCCCGUCAAUUCAUUUGAGUUUUAACCUUGCGGCCGUACUCCCCAGGCGGUCAACUUAAUGCGUUAGCUGCGCCACUAAAAUCUCAAGGAUUCCAACGGCUAGUUGACAUCGUUUACGGCGUGGACUACCAGGGUAUCUAAUCCUGUUUGCUCCCCACGCUUUCGCACCUCAGUGUCAGUAUCAGUCCAGGUGGUCGCCUUCGCCACUGGUGUUCCUUCCUAUAUCUACGCAUUUCACCGCUACACAGGAAAUUCCACCACCCUCUACUGUACUCUAGCUUGCCAGUUUUGGAUGCAGUUCCCAGGUUGAGCCCGGGGCUUUCACAUCCAACUUAACAAACCACCUACGCGCGCUUUACGCCCAGUAAUUCCGAUUAACGCUUGCACCCUCUGUAUUACCGCGGCUGCUGGCACAGAGUUAGCCGGUGCUUAUUCUGUCGGUAACGUCAAAACAGCAAGGUAUUCGCUUACUGCCCUUCCUCCCAACUUAAAGUGCUUUACAAUCCGAAGACCUUCUUCACACACGCGGCAUGGCUGGAUCAGGCUUUCGCCCAUUGUCCAAUAUUCCCCACUGCUGCCUCCCGUAGGAGUCUGGACCGUGUCUCAGUUCCAGUGUGACUGAUCAUCCUCUCAGACCAGUUACGGAUCGUCGCCUUGGUGAGCCAUUACCCCACCAACUAGCUAAUCCGACCUAGGCUCAUCUGAUAGCGCAAGGCCCGAAGGUCCCCUGCUUUCUCCCGUAGGACGUUAUGCGGUAUUAGCUACCGUUUCCAGUAGUUAUCCCCCUCCAUCAGGCAGUUUCCCAGACAUUACUCACCCGUCCGCCGCUCGUCACCCAGAGAGCAAGCUCUCUUGUGCUACCGCUC
RNAcentral lists this ribosomal RNA (1024 nucleotides) under uncultured bacterium. Its description in RNAcentral is "partial 16S ribosomal RNA". The record is from RNAcentral.